UGCUGAGGCUUCUUGUCACAUUUCUGUGGUUGGGAAACUCUGGUUUUCACCCUCUUGCUAUGCAGUCCUAUUGGAUCCUCUGUGGCUGGUAGGGAGGGGAGUUGGAGGUGGGGUGGUUUGGGAAAGGGAAAUUGGUUGAUUUCUCAGGAUUUGGUUUCAGCGGCCUCAUCUUUGCCUGGACCCCUCAAUCUGCAGAGAACCUUUCAGGGAGGUAGAUGUGGUGGAACAUAUCUGUGAUUCUUGCUGCCUAAGACUUGUGGAGCAAUUGAAUUCAGGAGUUUUGAGCUUCAGUGAGCUGAGUCUGUGCUGAGCCUGACCACCAAUGUGGUGAGCCAAUAUCUGGAAGGGGUUAGGGACAUGGGGAUGCCUAAGGAAGGGCAAAGUGGCUGUUUACAAAACUGAUCC
RNAcentral lists this long non-coding RNA (405 nucleotides) under Monodelphis domestica (gray short-tailed opossum). Its description in RNAcentral is "lncRNA (ENSMODG00000033168.2)". Lineage: Eukaryota; Metazoa; Chordata; Mammalia; Didelphimorphia; Didelphidae. The record is from RNAcentral.